AGGACGAACGCUGGCGGCGUGCUUAACACAUGCAAGUCGAGCGGAAAGGCCCUUCGGGGUACUCGAGCGGCGAACGGGUGAGUAACACGUGAGCAAUCUGCCCUUAGCUUCGGGAUAGCUCCGGGAAACCGGAAUUAAUACCGAAUAUGACUUCGGCCGACAUCGGCUGCGGUGGAAAGUUUUUCGGCUAGGGAUGAGCUCGCGGCCUAUCAGCUUGUUGGUGGGGUAAUGGCCUACCAAGGCGACGACGGGUA
This 254-nucleotide ribosomal RNA is filed under the name uncultured bacterium. Its description in RNAcentral is "partial small subunit ribosomal RNA". It matches the Rfam family "Bacterial small subunit ribosomal RNA", at positions 26 to 285 of the family's 1533-position model. The record is from RNAcentral.